RNAcentral lists this ribosomal RNA (253 nucleotides) under uncultured bacterium. RNAcentral describes it as "partial 16S ribosomal RNA". It matches the Rfam family "Bacterial small subunit ribosomal RNA", at positions 524 to 776 of the family's 1533-position model. The record is from RNAcentral.
UACGUAGGUGGCAAGCGUUGUCCGGAUUUACUGGGCGUAAAGGGCGUGCAGGCGGUUUGUUAAGUUCAGGGUGAAAGCUCCCGGCUCAACUGGGAGAGGUCCUUGGAUACUGGCAGACUUGAGGAGGGUAGAGGAGAGUGGAAUUCCCGGUGUAGUGGUGAUAUGCGUAGAUAUCGGGAGGAACACCAGUGGCGAAGGCGGCUCUCUGGGCAUUAACUGACGCUGAGGAGCGAAAGCAUGGGGAGCGAACAGG